This 273-nucleotide ribosomal RNA is filed under the name uncultured bacterium. Its description in RNAcentral is "partial 16S ribosomal RNA". It matches the Rfam family "Bacterial small subunit ribosomal RNA", at positions 524 to 796 of the family's 1533-position model. The record is from RNAcentral.
GACGAACCGUGCGAACGUUAUUCGGAAUCACUGGGCUUAAAGGGCGCGUAGGCGGGCUCGCCAGUCAGGGGUGAAAGCCCACGGCCCAACCGUGGAAGUGCCUUGGAUACUGCGAGCCUCGAGGGGGAUAGGGGCGUGCGGAACUCAGGGUGGAGCGGUGAAAUGCGUAGAUAUCCUGAGGAACACCGGUGGCGAAAGCGGCGCGCUGGAUCCCUUCUGACGCUGAGGCGCGAAAGCCAGGGGAGCAAACGGGAUUAGAAACCCCCGUAGUCC